AGAGUGAACGCUGGCGGUAGGCCUAACACAUGCAAGUCGAACGGCAGCACGGUAAGAGCUUGCUCUUAUGGGUGGCGAGUGGCGGACGGGUGAGGAAUACAUCGGAAUCUACCUUUUGGUGGGGGAUAACGUAGGGAAACUUACGCUAAUACCGCAUACGCCCUUCGGGGGAAAGCCGGGGACCAGCAAUGGCCUGGUGCUGAUAGAUGAGCCGAUGUCGGAUUAGCUAGUUGGUGAGGUAAUGGCUCACCAAGGCGACGAUCCGUAGCUGGUCUGAGAGGAUGAUCAGCCACACUGGAACUGAGACACGGUCCAGACUCCUACGGGAGGCAGCAGGUGGGGAAUAGUUGGACAAUGGGCGCAAGCCUGAUCCAGCCAUACCGCGUGGUGAAGAAGGCCUUCGGUUGUAAACGUCCCGUUUUAGGUUGGAAAGAAAGACUAAGUUACGGUUAAUACCCGGUUGUUACGUUAGAACCGGUAACCAAACGAAUAA
RNAcentral lists this ribosomal RNA (493 nucleotides) under uncultured soil bacterium. Its description in RNAcentral is "bacterial SSU rRNA". It matches the Rfam family "Bacterial small subunit ribosomal RNA", at positions 26 to 489 of the family's 1533-position model. The record is from RNAcentral.